GGCUCAGGAUGAACGCUGGCGGUAUGCUUAACACAUGCAAGUCGAACGAUGUUUUAGGACAUAGUGGCGGACGGGUGAGUAACGCGUAAGAAUCUACCUUCAGGUUUGGGACAACCAUUGGAAACGGUGGCUAAUACCGAAUGUGCCGAGAGGUGAAAGGCUUGCUGCCUGAAGAAGAGCUUGCGUCUGAUUAGCUAGUUGGUGGGGUAAGAGCCUACCAAGGCGACGAUCAGUAGCUGGUCUGAGAGGAUGAUCAGCCACACUGGGACUGAGACACGGCCCAGACUCCUACGGGAGGCAGCAGUGGGGAAUUUUCCGCAAUGGGCGAAAGCCUGACGGAGCAAUACCGCGUGAGGGAGGAAGGCUCUUGGGUUGUAAACCUCUUUUCUCAGGGAAGAAUAAAUGACGGUACCUGAGGAAUAAGCAUCGGCUAACUCCGUGCCAGCAGCCGCGGUAAUACGGAGGAUGCAAGCGUUAUCCGGAAUGAUUGGGCGUAAAGGGUCCGCAGGUGGUAGUGUAAGUCUGCAGUUAAAGAGUCACGCUCAACGUGAUAAAAGCAGUGGAAACUACACAACUAGAGUACGGUAGGGGCAGAAGGAAUUCCUGGUGUAGCGGUGAAAUGCGUAGAUAUCAGGAAGAACACCGGUGGCGAAAGCGUUCUGCUAGACCUGUACUGACACUGAGGGACGAAAGCUAGGGGAGCGAAUGGGAUUAGAUACCCCAGUAGUCCUAGCCGUAAACGAUGGAUACUAGGUGUGGCUUGUAUCGACCCGAGCCGUACCGUAGCUAACGCGUUAAGUAUCCCGCCUGGGGAGUACGCACGCAAGUGUGAAACUCA
This 838-nucleotide ribosomal RNA is filed under the name uncultured bacterium. RNAcentral describes it as "bacterial SSU rRNA". It matches the Rfam family "Bacterial small subunit ribosomal RNA", at positions 21 to 903 of the family's 1533-position model. The record is from RNAcentral.